RNAcentral lists this ribosomal RNA (211 nucleotides) under Bacillus subtilis. RNAcentral describes it as "partial 16S ribosomal RNA". It matches the Rfam family "Bacterial small subunit ribosomal RNA", at positions 557 to 767 of the family's 1533-position model. The record is from RNAcentral. Lineage: Bacteria; Bacillati; Bacillota; Bacilli; Caryophanales; Bacillaceae.
GGCGUAAAGGGCUCGCAGGCGGUUUCUUAAGUCUGAUGUGAAAGCCCCCGGCUCAACCGGGGAGGGUCAUUGGAAACUGGGGAACUUGAGUGCAGAAGAGGAGAGUGGAAUUCCACGUGUAGCGGUGAAAUGCGUAGAGAUGUGGAGGAACACCUGUGGCGAAGGCGACCCUCUGGUCUGUAACUGACUCUGAGGCGGGAAAGCGUGGGGA